UACGUAGGGCGCGAGCGUUGUCCGGAAUUAUUGGGCGUAAAGAGCGUGUAGGCGGCCAUACAGGUCAGCUGUGAAAACUCGAGGCUCAACCUCGAGACGUCGGUUGAAACCGUAUGGCUAGAGUCCGGAAGAGGAGAGUGGAAUUCCCGGUGUAGCGGUGAAAUGCGCAGAUAUCGGGAAGAACACCUAUGGCGAAGGCAGCUCUCUGGGACGGUACUGACGCUGAGACGCGAAAGCGUGGGGAGCAAACAGG
Molecule: ribosomal RNA, 253 nt
Filed under: uncultured bacterium
Lineage: Bacteria
Description: partial 16S ribosomal RNA
Rfam family: Bacterial small subunit ribosomal RNA
Source: RNAcentral